RNAcentral lists this ribosomal RNA (253 nucleotides) under uncultured bacterium. RNAcentral describes it as "partial 16S ribosomal RNA". It matches the Rfam family "Bacterial small subunit ribosomal RNA", at positions 524 to 776 of the family's 1533-position model. The record is from RNAcentral.
UACGUAGGGUGCGAGCGUUAAUCGGAAUUACUGGGCGUCAAGCGUGCGCAGGCGGUUUUGUAAGUCAGAUGUGAAAUCCCCGGGCUUAACCUGGGAACUGCGUUUGAAACUACAAGGCUAGAGUGUGGCAGAGGGGGGUGGAAUUCCACGUGUAGCAGUGAAAUGCGUAGAGAUGUGGAGGAACACCGAUGGCGAAGGCAGCCCCCUGGGUUAACACUGACGCUCAGGCACGAAAGCGUGGGGAGCAAACAGG